ACAUGUGAAAUGUCCGUAAAGCAUCAUCACAUGAUUGGUUUUAGGGCACAUUUCCAACAACGACAUGGCCUAGUCCAUGUAUGCCGUGGGUUACACUAGAAUCUGCCCCCUUGGUUGUGAGUUUCAUUCCUCGUGUAAUGACUUUUUCAAGUGCAUCGUCAUUCAAAUCUUCAAGAUAUCCCUGCGCCAAAGAGUCAAUUAUAUCAAUAGAGAAACAUGAAUGGUCCUCACUAGGGUACUUAAUGGAAUCAGAGAGAUUAAAAUUAACAACUUCCCCAUCAAAUUCCAUGGAUAAUGUUCCACUAUACACGUCAAUCUUCGUUCGGGCUGUCUUCAUGAAUGGCCUUCCAAGGAGGAUGGGCAAUGAAGAAGCAUGAUCCGAUUCAUCCAUUUCGAGCACAUAAAAAUCUACUGGGAAGACUAAAUGAUCAACCUCACCAAAACGUCUUCCAACACUCCAUUUGGAUAAGCGUUAGAUCUAUCGGCCAAUUGUAUGAUUACACCAUCAUGUUUCAACUCACCUAAGUUCAUAGAUACAUAAAUGGAGUAUGGCAUAACAUUUAUAGAGGCUCCUAAAUCUAGCAUGGCAGAUUUGAAACGAGUGUUACCAAUGACACACGGAAUUGUAAAGGUACCCGGAUCUUUGCAUUUGGGGGGUAGUUUACAUUGCAAGAUGGCGGAGACAUUUUCACCUACCUUCACAACCUCCUUGGUUGAAAUCCUCUUCCUAGUGGUGC
This 737-nucleotide long non-coding RNA is filed under the name Malus domestica (apple). Its description in RNAcentral is "long non-coding RNA (MDOM_LNC018497)". Lineage: Eukaryota; Viridiplantae; Streptophyta; Magnoliopsida; Rosales; Rosaceae. The record is from RNAcentral.